Molecule: ribosomal RNA, 1346 nt
Filed under: uncultured bacterium
Lineage: Bacteria
Description: bacterial SSU rRNA
Rfam family: Bacterial small subunit ribosomal RNA
Source: RNAcentral
GACGAACGCUGGCGGCGUGCUUAACACAUGCAAGUCGAACGGAAAGGCCCUGCUUUUGUGGGGUGCUCGAGUGGCGAACGGGUGAGUAACACGUGAGUAACCUGCCCUUGACUUUGGGAUAACUUCAGGAAACUGGGGCUAAUACCGGAUAGGAGCUCCUGCUGCAUGGUGGGGGUUGGAAAGUUUCGGCGGUUGGGGAUGGACUCGCGGCUUAUCAGCUUGUUGGUGGGGUAGUGGCUUACCAAGGCUUUGACGGGUAGCCGGCCUGAGAGGGUGACCGGCCACAUUGGGACUGAGAUACGGCCCAGACUCCUACGGGAGGCAGCAGUGGGGAAUAUUGCACAAUGGGCGGAAGCCUGAUGCAGCAACGCCGCGUGCGGGAUGACGGCCAUCGGGUUGUAAACCGCUUUCGCCUGUGACGAAGCGUGAGUGACGGUAAUGGGUAAAGAAGCACCGGCUAACUACGUGCCAGCAGCCGCGGUGAUACGUAGGGUGCGAGCGUUGUCCGGAUUUAUUGGGCGUAAAGGGCUCGUAGGUGGUUGAUCGCGUCGGAAGUGUAAUCUUGGGGCUUAACCCUGAGCGUGCUUUCGAUACGGGUUGACUUGAGGAAGGUAGGGGAGAAUGGAAUUCCUGGUGGAGCGGUGGAAUGCGCAGAUAUCAGGAGGAACACCAGUGGCGAAGGCGGUUCUCUGGGCCUUUCCUGACGCUGAGGAGCGAAAGCGUGGGGAGCGAACAGGCUUAGAUACCCUGGUAGUCCACGCUGUAAACGGUGGGUACUAGGUGUGGGGUCCAUUCCACGGGUUCCGUGCCGUAGCUAACGCUUUAAGUACCCCGCCUGGGGAGUACGGCCGCAAGGCUAAAACUCAAAGGAAUUGACGGGGCCCCGCACAAGCGGCGGAGCAUGCGGAUUAAUUCGAUGCAACGCGUAGAACCUUACCUGGGUUUGACAUGGAUCGGGAGUGCGCAGAGAUGGGUGUGCCUCUUUUGGGGUCGGUUCACAGGUGGUGCAUGGCUGUCGUCAGCUCGUGUCGUGAGAUGUUGGGUUAAGUCCCGCAACGAGCGCAACCCUUGUUCACUGUUGCCAGCACGUUAUGGUGGGGACUCAGUGGAGACCGCCGGGGUCAACUCGGAGGAAGGUGGGGAUGACGUCAAGUCAUCAUGCCCCUUAUGUCCAGGGCUUCACGCAUGCUACAAUGGCUGGUACAGAGAGUGGCGAGCCUGUGAGGGUGAGCGAAUCUCGGAAAGCCGGUCUCAGUUCGGAUUGGGGUCUGCAACUCGACCUCAUGAAGUCGGAGUCGCUAGUAAUCGCAGAUCAGCAACGCUGCGGUGAAUACGUUCCCGGGGCU